UACAGAGGGUGCGAGCGUUGUCCGGGAUCACUGGGCGUAAAGGGCGCGUAGGCGGCUUGAUAAGCGUGCGGUGAAAGCCCGGGGCUCAACCCCGGGUCGGCCGUGCGAACUGUCGAGCUGGAGCACUGUAGAGGCAGGUGGAAUUCCGGGUGUAGCGGUGGAAUGCGUAGAGAUCCGGAAGAACACCGGUGGCGAAGGCGGCCUGCUGGGCAGUGGCUGACGCUGAGGCGCGACAGCGUGGGGAGCAAACAGG
RNAcentral lists this ribosomal RNA (253 nucleotides) under uncultured bacterium. RNAcentral describes it as "partial 16S ribosomal RNA". It matches the Rfam family "Bacterial small subunit ribosomal RNA", at positions 524 to 776 of the family's 1533-position model. The record is from RNAcentral.